UACGUAGGUGGCAAGCGUUGUCCGGAAUUACUGGGUGUAAAGGGAGCGUAGGCGGGAAGGCAAGUCAGAUGUGAAAUCCACAGGCUUAACCUGUGGCGUGCAUUUGAAACUGCAGGACUUGAGUGAAGUAGAGGUAGGCGGAAUUCCCGGUGUAGCGGUGAAAUGCGUAGAGAUCGGGAGGAACACCAGUGGCGAAGGCGGCCUGCUGGGCUUUUACUGACGCUGAUGCUCGAAAGCAUGGGUAGCAA
Molecule: ribosomal RNA, 248 nt
Filed under: uncultured Eubacterium sp.
Lineage: Bacteria; Bacillati; Bacillota; Clostridia; Eubacteriales; Eubacteriaceae
Description: partial 16S ribosomal RNA
Rfam family: Bacterial small subunit ribosomal RNA
Source: RNAcentral